RNAcentral lists this ribosomal RNA (407 nucleotides) under uncultured bacterium. Its description in RNAcentral is "bacterial SSU rRNA". It matches the Rfam family "Bacterial small subunit ribosomal RNA", at positions 355 to 776 of the family's 1533-position model. The record is from RNAcentral.
UGAGGAAUCUUCCGCAAUGGGCGAAAGCCUGACGGAGCGACACCGCGUGAAGGAUGACACCCUUUUGGGCGUAAACUUCUGUUCUGAGGGACGAAAUUUUUGACGGUACCUCAGGAGAAAGCACCGGCUAAUUCUGUGCCAGCAGCCGCGGUAAGACAGAAGGUGCAAGCGUUACUCGGAAUUACUGGGCGUAAAGCGUCCGCAGGUGGUCCUGUUCGUCUAGGGUUAAAUGGCGAAGCCUAACUUCGUCACCGCCCUGGAAACAGCAGGAAUAGAGUCAUUCAGAGGCAUCUGGAAUGCCGUGUGUAGGGGUAAAAUCCGUUGAUCCACGGUAGAACGCCAAAAGCGAAGGCAGGGUGCUAGGAAUGUACUGACACUCAUGGACGAAAGCGUGGGGAGCAAACCGG